AUACCUUUCUCGGCCUUUUGACAAAGAUCAUGUGUAGUAUCUGUUUUUAUCAGUUUAAUAUCCUAUAUGUGGGCCAUAGGUCCACAUGAUAUUAAAUUAAUUUUUUUAAAGGGAGAGCCCACCUCAGUAGCUUGCUAUUGGGGCUCUCAAGCGUCGCCCAAGUGUUGCACCACAGCUCGGGCCUGGCGCACCCCAC
RNAcentral lists this small nuclear RNA (196 nucleotides) under Theobroma cacao (cacao). RNAcentral's name for it is "snRNA U2". It matches the Rfam family "U2 spliceosomal RNA". From Rfam's summary of the family: U2 is a small nuclear RNA (snRNA) component of the spliceosome (involved in pre-mRNA splicing). Lineage: Eukaryota; Viridiplantae; Streptophyta; Magnoliopsida; Malvales; Malvaceae. The record is from Rfam by way of RNAcentral.